AUGGAGAAGGGAACGCCAUCCUUUGGAAAGCAUCACAAUAACACACACACACACACACACACACACAGUGCCACUGGUGUGGCUCUAAGGCCUACCACCUUCAGAAGCCAACCCAUUGCAAAUGUGGCUCCCCUGCCAAGCAGAAGAGAAAGUAUAACUGGAGUGCCAAGGCUAAGAGAUGGAACGCUACCAGUGCUGGGCAGAUGAGGUACCUAAAAAUUGUCUAUUGCAGAUUCAGAUACGGACUCCAUGAAGGAACAACACCUAAACCCAAGAGGAAAGCUGUUGCAGCACCCAGUUCAUCUUGA
RNAcentral lists this long non-coding RNA (308 nucleotides) under Mus musculus (house mouse). RNAcentral's name for it is "long non-coding RNA chr4:98352426-98352734". The record is from RNAcentral. Lineage: Eukaryota; Metazoa; Chordata; Mammalia; Rodentia; Muridae.